UACGGGGGAGCAAGCGUUGUUCGGAUUUACUGGGCGUAAAGGGCGCGUAGGCGGUCAGCACAAGUCAGUUGUGAAAUCUCCGGGCUUAACUCGGAAAGGUCAACUGAUACUGUGCGACUAGAGUGCAGAAGGGGCAACUGGAAUUCUCGGUGUAGCGGUGAAAUGCGUAGAUAUCGAGAGGAACACCUGCGGCGAAGGCGGGUUGCUGGGCUGACACUGACGCUGAUGCGCGAAAGCCAGGGGAGCAAACGGG
Molecule: ribosomal RNA, 253 nt
Filed under: uncultured bacterium
Lineage: Bacteria
Description: partial 16S ribosomal RNA
Rfam family: Bacterial small subunit ribosomal RNA
Source: RNAcentral